GACGAACGCUGGCGGCGUGCUUAACACAUGCAAGUCGAACGGAAAGGCCCUGCUUGCAGGGUACUCGAGUGGCGAACGGGUGAGUAACACGUGGGUGAUCUGCCCUGCACUUCGGGAUAAGCCUGGGAAACUGGGUCUAAUACCGGAUAGGAGCCAUUUUUUGUGGGAUGGUUGGAAAGUUUUUUCGGUGUAGGAUGAGCUCGCGGCCUAUCAGCUGGUUGGUGGGGUAAUGGCCUACCAAGGCGGCGACGGGUAGACGGCCUGUGAGGGUGGACGGCCACAUUGGGACUGAGAGACGGCCCAGACUGCUACGGGAGGAAGCAGUGGGGAAGAUUGCACAAUGGGCGCAAGCCUGAUGCAGCGACGCCGCGUGUGGGAUGACGGCCUUCGGGUUGUAAACUCCCUUCGCUAGGGACGAAGCUUUUUGUGACGGUACCUAGAGAAGAAGCACCGGCUAACUACGUG
Molecule: ribosomal RNA, 465 nt
Filed under: uncultured bacterium
Lineage: Bacteria
Description: partial 16S ribosomal RNA
Rfam family: Bacterial small subunit ribosomal RNA
Source: RNAcentral